RNAcentral lists this ribosomal RNA (502 nucleotides) under uncultured bacterium. Its description in RNAcentral is "partial 16S ribosomal RNA". It matches the Rfam family "Bacterial small subunit ribosomal RNA", at positions 28 to 523 of the family's 1533-position model. The record is from RNAcentral.
GAUGAACGCUGGCGGCGUGCCUAAUACAUGCAAGUCGAACGAAUCUUCUUCGGAAGGUGAGUGGCGAACGGGUGAGUAAUGCAUAGGUAACCUGCCCCUGUGCGGGGGAUAACAGGAGGAAACUCCUGCUAAUACCGCAUAGCCAUGAGCACCGCAUGGAGCUCAUGCCAAAUAUCCUUUCGGGGAUAGCGCAGGGAUGGACCUAUGGCGCAUUAGCUGGUUGGCGGGGCAACGGCCCACCAAGGCAACGAUGCGUAGCCGGCCUGAGAGGGCGGACGGCCACAUUGGGACUGAGACACGGCCCAGACUCCUACGGGAGGCAGCAGUAGGGAAUUUUCGGCAAUGGGGGAAACCCUGACCGAGCAACGCCGCGUGAGCGAAGAAGGCCUUCGGGUCGUAAAGCUCUGUUGUAAAGGAAGAACGGCGCAUACAGGAAAUGGUAUGCGAGUGACGGUACUUUACCAGAAAGCCACGGCUAACUACGUGCCAGCCGCCGCCGUAA